UCAUAUGCUUGUGUCAAAGAUUAAGCCAUGCAUGUCUCAGUACAAGCCAAAUUAAGGUGAAACCGCGAAAGGCUCAUUAAAUCAGUUAUGGUUCCUUAGAUCGUACCCACAAUUACUUGGAUAACUGUGGUAAUUCUAGAGCUAAUACAUGCAAACAGAGCUCCGACCGGAGACGGAAGGAGUGCUUUUAUUAGAUCAAAACCAAUCGGUGGCGGGUUCGCUCGUUAUCGUACAACUUGGUGACUCUGAAUAACUUUACGCUGAUCGCACGGUCAUCGCACCGGCGACGCAUCUUUCAAAUGUCUGCCUUAUCAACUGUCGAUGGUAGGUUCUGCGCCUACCAUGGUUGUAACGGGUAACGGGGAAUCAGGGUUCGAUUCCGGAGAGGGAGCCUGAGAAACGGCUACCACAUCCAAGGAAGGCAGCAGGCGCGCAAAUUACCCACUCCCGGCACGGGGAGGUAGUGACGAAAAAUAACGAUACGGGACUCAUCCGAGGCCCCGUAAUCGGAAUGAGUACACUCUAAACCCUUUAACGAGGAUCAAUUGGAGGGCAAGUCUGGUGCCAGCAGCCGCGG
RNAcentral lists this ribosomal RNA (577 nucleotides) under Trigonopterus fulgidus. RNAcentral's name for it is "SSU rRNA". It matches the Rfam family "Eukaryotic small subunit ribosomal RNA", at positions 24 to 579 of the family's 1831-position model. Lineage: Eukaryota; Metazoa; Arthropoda; Insecta; Coleoptera; Curculionidae. The record is from RNAcentral.